CCUACGGGAGGCAGCAGUAGGGAAUAUUGUUCAAUGGGGGAAACCCUGAAGCAGCAACGCCGCGUGGAGGAUGAAGGUUUUCGGAUUGUAAACUCCUUUUGUUAGAGAAGAUAAUGACGGUAUCUAACGAAUAAGCACCGGCUAACUCCGUGCCGGCAGCGGCGGUAAUACGGAGGGUGCGAGCGUUACUCGGAAUCACUGGGCGUAAAGGGCGCGUAGGCGGGAUAGCAAGUCAGAUGUGAAAUCCUAUGGCUUAACCAUAGAACUGCAUUUGAAACUGUUAUUCUUGAGUAUAGGAGAGGUAGGUGGAAUUCGUGGUGUAGCGGUAAAAUGCGUAGAUAUCACGAGGAACACUCAUUGCGAAGGCGGCCUACUAGAACAUAACUGACGCUGAUGCGCGAAAGCGUGGGGAGCAAACAGGAUUAGAUACCCGGGUAGUC
This 440-nucleotide ribosomal RNA is filed under the name uncultured bacterium. RNAcentral's name for it is "partial 16S ribosomal RNA". It matches the Rfam family "Bacterial small subunit ribosomal RNA", at positions 338 to 795 of the family's 1533-position model. The record is from RNAcentral.